RNA transcript from Juglans regia (Persian walnut), 2507 nucleotides. RefSeq lists it as uncharacterized. The transcript is spliced from 12 exons. The record is from RefSeq and is a predicted model, not a curated record. Lineage: Eukaryota; Viridiplantae; Streptophyta; Magnoliopsida; Fagales; Juglandaceae.
UUUUGAAUGGAAUAGGAAAGGAAAUUCUCAUUCCAUUUCGAGCUUCUUUCUUCUUCUUCUUCUUCUUCUUUCUCUUCUUCUUCAUAGGCUUUCUAACACCAGAAAAUUCUCAGGGCUCACGGAGAAAUACAGGAAUAAGAAAAAGAGAGACGCUUUGUUUUGUCGUUAGGAUAUAGAAGCCAUGAAGACUCCGCUCAAAAAGUUGCGAGGGCUCGGACUUCACAAACAUGAGCCCAAGGAGCGCAAAGAUAUUCGGCCUUUGUCAAAAUUGGACGAGCUAGCUCAGGCUUCGCUGGAAAUGCAAGAUAUGAGGGACUGCUAUGAUGGCUUACUUUCCGCAGCUGCGGCGACUGCAAACAGUGCUUACGAAUUCUCAGAGUCAUUGCAGGAAAUGGGUUCUUGUCUUCUCGAGAAAACUGCGUUGAAUGAUGACGAAGAAAGUGGCAAAGUUCUGCUAAUGCUAGGAAAAGUACAGUUUGACCUGCAGAAACAUAUUGAUAGCUAUCGCGCUCAUAUAUUUCAAACAAUCACAAGCCCAUCAGAGUCUCUUCUUAAUGAACUUCGAACAGUUGAGGAGAUGAAGCGCCAAUGUGAUGAGAAAAGAGAUGUAUAUGAGUAUAUGAUAACCAGACACAGAGAAAAGGGGCAAUCAAGAAGUGGAAAAGGGGAGAUUUUUUCCAUGCAGCAGCUACAAACUGCUCGUGAUGAAUAUGAUGAAGAAGCAGCCUUUUAUGUAUUCCGGUCAAAAUCUCUAAAGCAAGGACAAUCCCGAAGUCUUCUUACACAGGCAGCUCGUCACCAUGCUGCUCAGUUGUGCUUCUUCAAGAAGGCUGUUAAAUCUCUUGAGUCAGUAGAACCCCAUGUGAAAUUGGUAACUGAACAUCAGCAUAUUGAUUACCAGUUCAGUGGACUUAAUGAUGGGGAUGAAGCUGGCGACGACGAUGACAACGACAGCAAUUAUGAUGAUGAUGAUGAUGACGAUGAUGAUGGAGAAUUGAGUUUUGAUUAUGGACAAAAUGACCCAGAGCUUGAUGUUUCUACACCACGGAAGUCAAUGGAGCUGGAUCAGGUGGACAUUACAUUUCCCCAGGUUGCAACUGUGGAAGCCGUGAAGGAAAAUCUGGGUAGGCUCCACAAUAAUUCUUUUGCCUAUAGGGCGAGGCUGGGCAGCCAAUCGGCCCCAAUUUUUGCUGAGAAUAAAUUUGAUUCUGCUGAAAAAAUAAGAGAGAUUCGACAGUCAUCAACACGCAAGUUGCAAACUUAUGUCCUACCCACUCCGGUUGAUAUGAAGAGUUCAAUUUCUGCUGGAUCAGGUAAUCCAAUGCUUCACAAAACACAGACUACUCCAAGUGGGCGUACAAGGAAUUUGUGGCAUUCAUCCCCAUUGGAUCCCAAAAGGUUAGAAAAAGUUUUGGUAGAUGAGAAACUCUCCCGACCCACCAAUGUAAAUGCUCAAGCUGUACUUGAGAGAAACAACACUGCAUCCACACGCUUGCCUCCUCCAUCUGAUGGGCUUUUGUUUUCACAUCAGUUUACACUUUCUGCUUCUGAUCCAAAAAAACUCAAAAUACAUCCUUUUUCUGGUCCAUUGACGAGUAAGCCAUGGCCUACAAAGCUGGUCUCAGUGGAAGGUCCCCAUUUGUAUUCGGGACCCCUUCUUCAAACAUCUCAACUUCCAUAUACUUCUCCAAAAGCAUCUCCAAGUACUUCCCCUACCUUUAUGUCCUCACCCAAAAUAAGUGAGCUUCAUGAACUUCCUAGGCCUCCUGCAAGUUCAACCUCCAAGUCUUCAAGACCUGAGGGUUUGGCUGGUCAUUCAGCCCCCUUGGGGUCCAGGGAUCAAGUGCUUUCUCUCAUAAAUAAGUCCGUUGUCUCAAAUGUAGCAUCUCCACUGCCAAGACCUCCACUAAUUAUUUCUCGUAGUUUCUCCAUACCCUCAAGUAGUCCUAGUGUGGCAACUUCCUAUGCAUCGAAGCCCCUGAAAAAUCGUCACAGCAUGGAGAUAGGUGAAGGCGUUGAUUCGCCCCCUUUGACACCAAUAGACCUUUCACGCAACCGGCCAUCAUCAGCUGCUUCUGAGACCGUCAUUCGCGUUGUUCAAAUUAGAGGGACUCAUAUGAAUUCACUGGCGACACCGUAAUUGAUGGACCUGUUCAGGUAAGCACCUGUUCACACGAGGAAUUCUGGCUUUUUGUUGGCAGGUGCAUGCGGAUUGAUUCUAUUCAUAUUCAGUGCCAAUUUUGUUUUCGAUUUGGCAAUCCAAAAACUCGUUGGGGGUGACAUUGCUUCUCACCAUUUCGUACAGCUGCAGAUCUGUAAAUUAGUCAUUUUUGUAUAAUUUGUUGUUUUCUUUUAUUUUAUCUAUUAUAUUAACCAAUUAAUUUUACUUUAAUGGGCACACCUGGCAUGGAUUAAUUGAAUAAAUGCCAUAGUGUUCCAUCAUUUUUGGGGAAUUUGUAUUUUCUUCUAGCACUUUAAUAGUCAAUUGCUCUCUUCUUUUUUACUUU